AGGGUUUGAUUAUGGCUCAGGACGAACGCUGGCGGUGCGCCUUAUGCAUGCAAGUCGAGCGAAGCUUUUCAGUAGUUUACUACAGAAAAUGACUGAGCGGCGAACGGGUGAGUAACGCGUGAGCAAUCUACCUUAGUUACAGGGAUAGCCCGAGGAAACUCGGAUUAAUGCCUGAUAUUCUUUAUUUCUCGCAUGAGAAUAAAAGGAAAGGUCAGCCGAACUAAGAUGAGCUCGCGUUCUAUCAGCUAGUUGGUGAGGUAAAAGCUUACCAAGGCUACGACGGAUAGCUGGUCUGAGAGGACGAUCAGCCACACUGGGACUGAGACACGGCCCAGACUCCUACGGGAGGCUGCAGCAGGGAAUAUUGUGCAAUGAACGAAAGUUUGACACAGCGACACCGCGUGUGGGAUGACGGAUCUAGGUUUGUAAACCACUUUCAGGAGGGAAGAAAAUGACGGUACCUCCACAAGAAGCCCCGGCCAACUACGUGCCAGCCGCCGCGGUAAUUC
RNAcentral lists this ribosomal RNA (509 nucleotides) under uncultured bacterium. RNAcentral describes it as "bacterial SSU rRNA". It matches the Rfam family "Bacterial small subunit ribosomal RNA", at positions 8 to 526 of the family's 1533-position model. The record is from RNAcentral.